RNAcentral lists this long non-coding RNA (933 nucleotides) under Rattus norvegicus (Norway rat). RNAcentral's name for it is "long non-coding RNA NONRATT028154". The record is from RNAcentral. Lineage: Eukaryota; Metazoa; Chordata; Mammalia; Rodentia; Muridae.
GCUUAGGCUGAGGGAGGGAUUUUUCUUGGUGGCCAGGCUACAUAGGUCUUUAACGGUUGCCAUGGUGCUCUUCAGCUCAGAGAGCCUGUUGUGUGGUAGUUCCUAUGCUCAGCCACUGAGGCGAAGUGGAGGACCGGAGCUGGAGAGCUGGUUGGCUCUCUCUCACACAGAAUUUUACCUUUGUAGCGUGUGGAGCUUCCAGUUUGUUUUUCCUAAAUAACUACACCCCCCUCACCCCCCACCCCCCGGCAAAAGCUUAUGGUGACCUGAGGUGAAUUUCUGCUGCUGUUGUCAGGACUUGGUUCAUUAGAUGAGUCCGAGUCUGAGGAGUUUUCCAGGUCACUCGCCUUGGCCUCCAGCAUCAGCUGUUAAAUCUUUUUCGGCUUUUUGCGACACAGCUUUGUAGAUGAUGAAGCCCGAUCCACAUUUCAGGCAGGACUGAUGGCAGAGGAUGACUUUCCCAGAAGUGCGGUGUGCCCUCAUUAACGGGAAACCUCCAGGAAGGGAUGGUGUCCCGGGGGUCCCUUCCUCCCAGCCCGGAUGACAUGAGUUUUCCUUCGUCCCCAGCUGUUUGUAAAGGCUAAAAUGGAGGAGUACUGGGCAGCUGGCUCGACCGGCCUAGUGAUGAGUUUAAAUCUCAGAUAACGUUGUUUUAGAGAAGUAGGCCCAGUAACUCAGCUGCGGGGCUUUUCAGAAUCUAGAUGCUAAACUCUCCAUGCCUUCAAGAUUAAAUGCCUAGUUCUUUACACACAGUUCUGGGUAGUUGAUCUGUAGCCAGCCGCCCUCCUGGGAAUGUACCCCAGACCUUUAGAAAGACAUUGAUGUGCAUAGAAAGUGCUUGUGAGAUACUGAUUUAGUUUUAUAGGAAAAAGAAAGUUAAAACACUCCCUUAGUUGGUUCAACCGCAUUAAGAAAGAAAAGAAAAAGAAGGAA